Molecule: long non-coding RNA, 409 nt
Organism: Bos taurus (domestic cattle)
Lineage: Eukaryota; Metazoa; Chordata; Mammalia; Artiodactyla; Bovidae
Source: Ensembl
GUAUUAUUUGUUUAAUAAAACAAAUAUUAAGACAAAAAGGGAAGAAGUUGACAGUAACACAAUAGUAGGGGACUUUAUAACACCCCAGUUACAUCAGUGGACAAGUAUGUGUGUAUAUAUAUGCAUAUAUACAAGAAAAUGUCUUCGGUGCCGUGUCGUCAAUGGCCAACACUUGACUGAUUACUCCCAUUCUGACUCCAGUUGAAAUCAACAGUUCCAAGACCUACUAUAAAAGAAGAAAAAUCUUAAAUUUUGUAUAUGGAAUAAAACUUUUAAAAAUAAUUACUAAAAAAAGACUCCAUGCUUCCACUGUAGGGGACACAGAGUCAGUCCCUGGUCAGGAAACUAAGAUCCCACAGGUGUGAGCUAGUUCAGUUCAGAUCAUAUUUACUGAACACCUCCUAUGAAC